Long non-coding RNA from Rhineura floridana, 1097 nucleotides. RefSeq lists it as uncharacterized. Lineage: Eukaryota; Metazoa; Chordata; Lepidosauria; Squamata; Rhineuridae. The record is from RefSeq and is a predicted model, not a curated record. The transcript has 4 exons.
GGGCAUGAGCCGAUGGUAGAGUCUCCUUUUGCAAAAGCUUGUGAGCAGAAUAAAGGUGUUGGAUCCUACCUGGUCUCCCGUUUCGUGUGUAUUGGGCUUCCACCAGGUGCAACGAACCACUUGUGUAACAACAGUAUUAAAAACUGGAAGCAUGUUUGGAUAUCAGUAUCUAGAUCCCAAGGUACCAGAAAGAAGAAUUCACAAGCAAUCAAGCCAUCAAGGGCAACCGCAUGGAAAGAAGACUUAGACGUACCAGGACCAGCACAGAACCACCACAGAGGCCAAUGGCACCCAUUCCCACCCCAAGUUUGUGAAGCUCUUCAAUCUCCCGGUUGUGGCGCUCUGUUUUGUGGCGGACAAGAGACCGGUAGAAAUGGAUGGUGAAGACGACAAAGAUGAUCCCCACAGGGACCAUGAUCAUGGUGGAGAUGAAGGCCGCCAGCCAGCCUGUGUGCUGGCUGGUCUUCUGGACGACGGCCGUGCCGUUCCUCAAGACGGAGUCCACCGGCAGGAAUUUGAUCCAGCACAGAAGAACCACCUCGGCGAGGAAGAGGAGGAUGCCCAGGACGGUGGAGAAGCCCCACGCCAGCUCUAUCAACUAAUAUGUGUGAUAAAUCAUCAUCAUCAUCCGUUGGUCUAUCUAGCUCAGUAUCGCCUCCACAGACUGGCAGCAACUCUUCAGGGCUUCAGGCAGAAGCUUCUCCCACCCCUACCUGGAGAUGCUUGGGAUUGAACGAGAGACCUACUGUGUGCAAGGCAGAUGCUCUGCCACUGAGCUAUCACAUCAGCACAUCUCAAAUAACUCUCUCAUCCAUUUCCUAUCUGGUGCAGGCUCAGAAUUACGGCAGAGAUUUGCUCCUAGUCCAAACAAGGAGGCAAAUCUAUGUUCCAUGGCUGCUUCCAGAAAGGCUAGGUGGCUUUUUAAAGCUCCAGAGGGAAGACUUCACAUUCUCUAUUCCACAAAGAUAAAUCUGUAUGCUUUAGGUGCAUGAUACAGAAAUCCUGAGAACACCAGUUUUAAGAAAGCAAGAUUCUAGCCCUGUAAAGAAAAAGCUUGAAAACUCGCUGGCAUUGUCUGCUGGCAGCCACAAUAAAGU